GACAGAGGGGGCAAGCGUUGCUCGGAAUUAUUGGGCGUAAAGAGCUCGUAGGCGGUGUGUCGCGUCGGCCGUGAAAACCUGCAGCUUAACUGUGGGCUUGCGGUCGAUACGGGCAUCACUGGAGUUCGGCAGGGGAGACUGGAAUUCUCGGUGUAGCGGUGAAAUGCGUAGAUAUCGAGAGGAACACCUGCGGCGAAGGCGGGUUGCUGGGCUGACACUGACGCUGAUGCGCGAAAGCCAGGGGAGCAAACGGG
Molecule: ribosomal RNA, 254 nt
Filed under: uncultured bacterium
Lineage: Bacteria
Description: partial 16S ribosomal RNA
Rfam family: Bacterial small subunit ribosomal RNA
Source: RNAcentral